AGUGAACGCUGGCGGCAUGCCUAACACAUGCAAGUCGAGCGGCAGGACAGUGAGAUCUUGCUCUUACGGGUGGCGAGUGGCGGGCGGGUGAGGCAUAGAUCGGAAUCUACUCUUUCGUGGGGGAUAUCGUAGGGCAAGUGACGCUAAUGCCGAAUACGUCGUACGGCUUGGAGCAAGCGUUCUUCGGACCUUGUGUGUUUUAGUGAGACGGUGUCGGAUUAGCUAGUUGGGUGGGUAAAGGCCUACCAAGGCGAGGAUCCGUAGCUGGACCGAGAGGAUGAUCGGCCACACGGGAACUGAGACACGGUCCAGACUCCUACGGGAGGCAGCAGUAGGGAAUCUUGCGCAAUGGGCGAAAGCCUGAUCCAGCAAUACCGCGUGAGUGAUGAAGGCCUUCGGGUCGUAAAGCUCUGUUGUUGGGGAAGAAAAAAAGCAGGUUAAGCGCCGGCGGUUCUGACGGUACCCAAAGAAGAAGCACCGGCUAACUUCGUG
Molecule: ribosomal RNA, 492 nt
Filed under: uncultured bacterium
Lineage: Bacteria
Description: partial 16S ribosomal RNA
Rfam family: Bacterial small subunit ribosomal RNA
Source: RNAcentral